RNAcentral lists this ribosomal RNA (872 nucleotides) under uncultured crenarchaeote. Its description in RNAcentral is "bacterial SSU rRNA". It matches the Rfam family "Archaeal small subunit ribosomal RNA", at positions 1 to 879 of the family's 1478-position model. Lineage: Archaea; Thermoproteati; Thermoproteota. The record is from RNAcentral.
UUCCGGUUGAUCCUGCCGGACCUGACUGCUAUCGGAUUGAUACUAAGCCAUGCGAGUCAUUGUAGCAAUACAAGGCAGACGGCUCAGUAACGCGUAGUCAACCUAACCUAUGGACGGGAAUAACCUCGGGAAACUGAGUAUAAUGCCCGAUAGAACAUUAUGCCUGGAAUGGUUUAUGUUCCAAAUGAUUUAUCGCCGUAGGAUGGGACUGCGGCCUAUCAGUUUGUUGGUGAGGUAAUGGCCCACCAAGACUAUUACAGGUACGGGCUCUGAGAGGAGUAGCCCGGAGAUGGGUACUGAGACACGGACCCAGGCCCUAUGGGGCGCAGCAGGCGAGAAAACUUUGCAAUGUGCGAAAGCACGACAAGGUUAAUCCGAGUGGUUUCUGCUAAAGGAACCUUUUGUUAGUCCUAGAAACACUAACGAAUAAGGGGUGGGCAAGUUCUGGUGUCAGCCGCCGCGGUAAAACCAGCACCUCAAGUGGUCAGGAGGAUUAUUGGGCCUAAAGCAUCCGUAGCCUGUUCUAUAAGUUUCCGGUUAAAUCCAUUAGCUCAACUAAUGGGCCGCCGAAAAUACUGUAGAACUAGGGAGUGGGAGAGGUAGACGGUAUUUGGUAGGAAGGGGGUAAAAUCCUUUGAUCUAUUGAGGACCACCUGUGGCGAAGGCGGUCUACCAGAACACGUUCGACGGUGAGGGAUGAGAGCUGGGGGAGCAAACCGGAUUAGAUACCCGGGUAGUCCCAGCUGUAAACGAUGCAGACUCGGUGAUGCGCUGGCUUGUGGCCAGUGCAGUGCCGCAGGGAAGCCGUUAAGUUUGCCGCCUGGGAAGUACGUACGCAAGUAUGAAACUUAAAGGAAUUGGCGGGGGAGCAC